Amphiprion ocellaris (clown anemonefish) is the source of this 570-nucleotide long non-coding RNA. The record is from Ensembl. NCBI's taxonomy places the organism in Eukaryota, Metazoa, Chordata, Actinopteri, Pomacentridae.
AACGAGAUAAUGCCCUUAAUUGAACACAUCCAGGACCAGUAGAACUUGGCUGCAGGAGCACAGUAUCCAGCUCUUAGAGUGGCCAGAUCAAUCCCUGGACAUGAGCCCCAUUGGAAAUCUGUGGUGGAUUAUCAAAAGUGGAUGAGAUCUCUGGCGUCAGCGGCAAGGCCUCAGGGAUUGGUCGGUCGAGUCCGGUACUCCUGCUGGGACUGGCUGUUCUUCUGAUCUGGCACUGAUGAGGAAGGAGGCGGGACCAAGGACCACCUGCCGACAGAUCAGCUGAAGGACCAGAGCAGCAGCCGCCAAUCACUAACCGAUCAUCAAUAACCUACUGCAACACAUCCUGCUUUUUUACAUGAAACAUUCAGAGCGUCUGACAGUUCGGCAGCAACCAAUUGACUGACUUCUAAUCAAUGAGCCUUAUCGGUUUCCAUGACAACACAUUCAGUUUAUACUUUUGUUUAUAUUGUGCAAUAAAUAGUUUCACAUAUAUGGCUCACAUCUGUGGUUAUUGAUCAAACAUCAGUGAACCAGAAUCAUAGAUUUACUCAAGUACUUAAGAACAAUUUU